Molecule: non-coding RNA, 29 nt
Filed under: Homo sapiens (human)
Lineage: Eukaryota; Metazoa; Chordata; Mammalia; Primates; Hominidae
Source: RNAcentral
UCAGCCUCCAUAAGUGUGUGGGCCAGUUC